AGAAAGAAGAAAGAAUUCUGGAAAGAAAAAGAAAAGAGAGGAAGAAAUAAGAAAAAAAAAGGAAGAAGAAGAAGGAAAGAGAGGAGAGAAAGGACGAAACCGAGUAGAAAGAGAAAAGAGCCGAGAGUAGUGAUGGUGGUGGCUGAAAGGAGAUUGUCGGUGAGCAAAUUCCGCUGCUUGAAAAGAGUGAAGAGAUUAAGCAAAUGGGAGUUUAAUUCGGAGGCAGGAUUUUGAAUCCUUCGACUUAAAAGCUGAGCUUCAAAAGUGGUCCAAGAGGAAAAGAAUUUUAGCAAAGGAAGGUUGAAUCAUUAGUGUUGUGCAAAUUCAAGCAAACUAUGGGUGGGUGGCAUGUCAUUCUCUCUCUCUAAAAACUCAUUACGAAAGGAACACGCAUGUUGAAGUGACUAUGCCAGCAAUACCACCAUUGCCAGGUUUACUCCUUUAGGAGGUAUGAAUUCUAUAUCUAUGAAAUAAUAUUCUCAUUGCACAUAGAUGUUACUCUUUCAACUAGC
Pistacia vera is the source of this 512-nucleotide long non-coding RNA. RefSeq lists it as uncharacterized. Lineage: Eukaryota; Viridiplantae; Streptophyta; Magnoliopsida; Sapindales; Anacardiaceae. The transcript has 5 exons. The record is from RefSeq and is a predicted model, not a curated record.